Triticum dicoccoides is the source of this 701-nucleotide long non-coding RNA. RefSeq lists it as uncharacterized. The transcript is spliced from 3 exons. Lineage: Eukaryota; Viridiplantae; Streptophyta; Magnoliopsida; Poales; Poaceae. The record is from RefSeq and is a predicted model, not a curated record.
GGCCCACGUCCUGCCGAAGAUACCGUACUAUCUAGCCAUACUCGUCCCGCUUCUCUUGCCGCCGGCGAUCGUGCUCUUCUUCGUCCGAGCUGCCGGCAGCAGCACCAAGGCCGCGGACGGAAAGAGCAUCAGCGUCAAGGAUGUUGACUUUUCCAUGGUUCUUCUGUUGCUUUUGCUUCUGUCGACGAUCAUAGGAACCAUCAAUUUCGCUUUUUACAAGUAUGGAUAUCCUUGCGAUCUUCUGGGCCACGUGGCUCUCUUCUUCAUCUUCCUGUGUGAAGCCCUCGUCUAUGUCCGCGCUGCACUGGCGCAGUGGAUGAACCCCAAGCCCAGCAACAUGGUGGCUGCAGAGUAACGCCCACUUGCUCAGUUUCAGGUGCGCAGGAUGAUGGAGAGUACUACGUAGUACUGUACUGCAGGAGCGCUUCUGCUUCCUUCUAGCUUUGUUGCUGUUCUGAAUAAAGAGACGGACAUGCAUGUCCUGUGAUGUGUAGCAUCUAGUACUCCUAGUAUCAAACUUGCUUCAGUUAAUGCUAGUUCAGCGCUGAUGCAGUGUCUGAAGCAAUAUGGUAAUUUGGCUGGACACUCUGAACCGCACCUAUAUCGAUCUAAAACAGCAUGUAUGUGUUGCUGUCAUUUACGUGUACGUGCCUAUAAAAUAUGAACAACUUCUAUUCUGUAGUAUGUAAAAUACCAUAGCA